Oreochromis aureus is the source of this 1927-nucleotide long non-coding RNA. Lineage: Eukaryota; Metazoa; Chordata; Actinopteri; Cichliformes; Cichlidae. The record is from Ensembl.
UUAAGAGGUUUCUGUGUAAAUUUCCGCUGAUGAAAAGCGCUCUCUGUGGGUCUCACUGCUGGUGAGGCGCGCUCUGGGCGUUGUGUGUGUGAAGCGCGCUCUGGGUGCUGCUCUGUGUGUGAGGCGCGCUCUGGGUGUGUUUCCGUGUGUGAAGCGUGAACACAGUGACAGUGACGGUUGAUGUGUGAAUAGGAGGACAUUAGUGCGAAGAGAAUGCUUUAAGAUCAAAGGUUGACGCCUAGUGUACCUGUGGAAAUUAAUUUUGUUCAAGGUGUGGCAACCCCCCUGUCUGUGGACGCACAGGCUGGUCCAGCGUCGUCUGGGUGCCGAGGUGGCGACUUGGGAACUGAGGACUCCCGCAUAGCUACAGAAUAACACUGGCUGCUUUGCCGGCCCUGAAAGCCGAGGCUGACCUGGACUCCUGCUCUCCCUCUACGUGACCCUGACCAAAUGCUGCAACAGCUGGACCCACAACAACAACCUGAAAAUGUCAGUGCUGCAGGAAUGCGAUCUCAUGCAGCAGAGACGGAGAGCACUAAACCUAAGGCCCGUUUCACUACACGGGGGAAAAUUCUCAGACUACGUCAGCUGACAGAGCUGUGACGGGAUGCCUGCCAAGCCCGAAUGAAAAGUAAGGCCGAGCAAAAGGAUGCUGAUCUUGAUAACUCUGCAUUAACACUGUGCAGGACAGUGAUGGACCAAUACGGCAGCAAAAGGGGCGUGGCCGAGACAGGAGGAGCAAGUGAGGUCAAAAGGCACCUCAGAAUGGACAAAAACACAGAAGAAGAUGCAGGUUUCACCUACAGUGAGCAUGGACAUUGGAGAAAGGACUGCCCCAAUUGGGGUCAGAACCAGGACGGACAGAACUUUGAGCAGCAGCAGCAGCAAUGGUCGCAAACAGACUGAAAAGGAGGAGGGCAGGACCCCAGGGCACGCUUCAGGCCAUGGUUUACCCAAGACACCAGAACAGGAAAGUGAUGAACACACACACACACAAACACACACAUCUACAUACACUGAUGAAAAGAAACACACACAUGAAUAUAUGUGCACUCGUCGAUUGAGUGAAAAAGGACACACACACACACGCUGAUGCAAUGAAGAAUGCUUUGCUAACAAAUGCUUAUGCUGAUAUGCAAAAUGCUGCACACAAACAUCCCAAUACAUAAUUUUUAUGAGGCCAUUGAUUAUCGUUGAUUACUUAAAAUGUGUUUUAUGUCACCCAGAGUACAUUUAUGUAGAUUUUAGGGGUAAGGUCUAAAACAGUUUGGUUAUGAAAACAAUGUCUGUGCGUGAUGUCUGUUUAUGGCUCAAGGCCUUGACUGAAUUCUUUGCUGUGCUUCAUACACAGCCCUGAUGAGGAGCAGUGGCACAGAGUGAAAAUGAUGAAUUAAUAGUGUAAGUUUAGGUCGGAGUACGGCAUUUUCUGUGAUUGAGAUUUAAUUCAAGGAGGAACAAAGGUGCUACGGUACCUGAGGUUCUCAUGCCUUAACAAUAUUGUCCCGGCAGGAAGCAAAACGUUCCUGUGAAUUUCUGGUUGAUUUUUUGGUUUUGCUUAGCGCUAGCUUAAUUUUAUCAGUGAGCUUUGGCUUGUGUUCUUUCUCUAAGCAAGAGAGGGAUAGUUUUAUGCUUGGACAUGUCUGCAAUGGGCCCUAGUUUGUGUUAUUUUUAUUAGUAUUUUGUUGGUUACGUUUGUGUUUGCUUUUGUUACAGUGCACUGAGAUAAGAAAAUCUGAGAGGUGUGAUCCACCGGUGGUGAUAUUUUGUGAGUUCAUGAUUUAACAAUCAGCUCUUUAAACCAGGCCUGAAAGAUUGAGAUUUAAAGCGCUAUAAAAUAUUAUUACUGUAAACAGUUGCAAAGUGUGCUUCUCCAUGAUUGUAAUUGGCUUGGGAGAAAUUCACUUAUAGGGGACACUGAUCACGUGAG